This 239-nucleotide ribosomal RNA is filed under the name uncultured bacterium. RNAcentral describes it as "partial 16S ribosomal RNA". The record is from RNAcentral.
CUGCUGCCUCCCGUAGGAGUCUGGGCCGUGUCUCAGUCCCAAUGUGGCCGGCCAACCUCUCAGUCCGGCUACUGAUCGUCGCCUUGGUGGGCCGUUACCCCGCCAACUAGCUAAUCAGACGCGAGUCCAUCUCAGAGCGAUAAAUCUUUGAUGCCCAGUGCCAUGCGACACAGACAUAUUAUGCGGUAUUAGCAGCUGUUUCCAACUGUUAUUCCCCACUCCAAGGCAGGUUACUCACG